GAUGAAGAACGUAGCGAAAUGCGAUAAGUAAUGUGAAUUGCAGAAUUCAGUGAAUCAUCGAAUCUUUGAACGCACCUUGCGCUCCUUGGUAUUCCGAGGAGCAUGCCUGUUUGAGUGUCAUGAAAUUCUCAACCUUUCCAGCUUUCUUUGUUGAUCAGGCUUGGAUGUGGGAGUAUGCGGGCUUCUCAGAAGUCGGCUCUCCUGAAAUGCAUUAGCGGGACCUUUGUUGCCUGGCUUUGGUGUGAUAAUUAUCUACGCCAUUGUAGUCAAGCAGCUUAAAAUGAGGUUUCAGCUUCUAACCGUCUCCCCUGAGACAACUUUUUGACAAUUUGACCUCAAAUCAGGUAGGACUACCCGCUGAACUUAAGCAUAUCAAUAAGCGGAGGA
RNAcentral lists this unclassified non-coding RNA (387 nucleotides) under soil metagenome. Its description in RNAcentral is "partial contains 5.8S ribosomal RNA, internal transcribed spacer 2, and large subunit ribosomal RNA". The stretch from base 1 to 120 matches the Rfam family "5.8S ribosomal RNA", at positions 35 to 154 of the family's 154-position model. The record is from RNAcentral.